Molecule: long non-coding RNA, 1696 nt
Organism: Bos taurus (domestic cattle)
Lineage: Eukaryota; Metazoa; Chordata; Mammalia; Artiodactyla; Bovidae
Source: Ensembl
GCCGACCCGACCCGCUCCUGGGGCCGCCUGGUCUCGGGCGUGCAGGUGGGCUGGAUCGCGGCUCCCGCCCCCGCCCCUCCACCACCCGCCCGCCCGGCCCGCCCUCGUGCUCCGGCGCCCGCACACAAAGCCCCUUUCACGGACUCGGGCUCGACUUCUGCUGCUCCGGAGUGGCAUGUCAGGGGAACAACUGAUCGCCCCUCUGGUGUGCUGGCACUGGGGUUCAAGGUACUCAGGCACCCUCAAGUCACAGGAGUUUAUCAUGAAGAAGGCUGUAAGGCCAAGAAUUAAGGCCAACAGCUACUCACCCAAGCUGCUUCUCUGUCUUCCGGCUUCUGCUCCUGCCACACACUGAGCACAUCUGGGGAAAGCACCUCACAGGGUCAGAGAAGUGCAAAUGCCUACAACGUCAGUCACCUGUCUCAUCGCGUCCUGUUCUUUGUAGCCAUCGCGUUCCUAUGGAUACCCUAAGGCCCAAAUUAAAUAUUACAGAAUUUUUGUUUGGCAGAGAUUGCCAACAUUAAGCCACACAACUGGUAUCACAAGACAUUGGCAGGUGAUGGCGCACCAACCCCGGGGCCAGAAGACAAGGGCCUUUCGUCGUAUCAGUGAGCAGCCCCCAGGGGCUCUUUGCUGCCACUGACUCCUCUCCCUGAGCCUGGACUCCAUUACUACUACCCUCCUCAGCACUCUGGCUGACUCUCUGUGCCUCCAGCCUUGUAUCUUCUGAUGUGUCUACAUCACAAAUGUGACCAUGCGAUCUCCUGCUUAAGUCCUUCCAGGAGCUCCCCACACCUGCAGGGUCAUGCUCAAAGAGCACCACAGGUGACAGGCACGGUGUGACCCAGCUCUUGCCACCACUCCAUGGGCCGUCCACUGACUUGACCUGGCCACAUCCAGCUCCUGCUCACCACUGGGCCGUCCACUGACUUGACCUGGCCACAUCCAGCUCCUGCCACCACUCCAUGGGCCGUCCACUGACUUGACCUGGCCACAUCCAGCUCCUGCUCACCACUCCAUGGGCCGUCCACUGACUUGACCUGGCCACAUCCAGCUCCUGCCACCACUCCAUGGGCCGUCCACUGACUUGACCUGGCCACUCAAGCCACUGGUAUUCCCUAGGUGGGCCCACCUCUCACGACAUGACACAGGAAGGCAGACGGUCCCACGGAAGGAACAAAAACCUCUUCACCUUGAAGACACAGUUCAAGCAUCCCCUUCUCCAAUUUUUUCCUCCUGAGUCUCCAAGUGGAACAACUCCAUCAUUGUGGCCCUAUCCCCGCGUAUAGGCCUCUGGCUCAGUACGGGUAAACUGCUAUUGGUCUUCUUAACUUCCAAGUUCUGCACAGAAAUGCACAGGCCCUGAAGGCAGCUGGCUCCAUGAGCCUUGGGACAGAGAGAAAAGCUCUGAGAAGGAAGCUUUGACACCAGAAGGGAGUCUGUCUCCAGGAAAUAACAAAAACAGACUUACAUCAAGAGGAUCACUGGAUGGAACAAAACAAAGCAAAGAGAAAGUUUAAAAUUUUCUCAGAGAGUUAAAAAUAUGAAAAAGGGAGAUGAGAAUAAAAUUUAUGGGGCUACUAUGAAUUCAUGAUUUUUAAUUAUUUAUAUCAUCUAUCUCCAUCUCCCUCAAUAUUUCCAUAUAUCUUUAUCUACAGUUAUUUCCUUGCUCUGUCUGCCAAGAAAAGCCUAGAAG